ACGCUCGACACCUACGAGGCAGCAGUGGGGAAUAUUGCACAAUGGGGGAAACCCUGAUGCAGCGACGCCGCGUGAGCGAAGAAGUAUUUCGGUAUGUAAAGCUCUAUCAGCAGGGAAGAUCAUGACGGUACCUGACUAAGAAGCUCCGGCUAAAUACGUGCCAACAGCCGCGGUAAUCUGAGCGGGCUGGCAAGGC
Molecule: ribosomal RNA, 196 nt
Filed under: uncultured bacterium
Lineage: Bacteria
Description: partial 16S ribosomal RNA
Rfam family: Bacterial small subunit ribosomal RNA
Source: RNAcentral